Molecule: long non-coding RNA, 473 nt
Organism: Xenia sp. Carnegie-2017
Lineage: Eukaryota; Metazoa; Cnidaria; Anthozoa; Malacalcyonacea; Xeniidae
Exons: 3
Source: RefSeq, a predicted model, not a curated record
CCACAGAACGUAUCCUGAUCUAUUUUACCAUUAACACCCGGGAAUCGAUUUUGCUCCACAAAAGACAUUUUAGACUAAGGAUUAUAAUUAUAUGACGAUGCCACCGCGCGUGUAUUGACCAAGUCUGGUUUGGCAUGGGCAAGAGCAUCAGCUGCAGUUAUUAAUUUCAAUUGCUUUUUAAUUCUUCUUCCUGUCUGUCGAAACAUGUUGUCAUUUCUUCGAGGUGUAGAUUGUUGUGGAAUGGGUCACAAUUUACAACGUUUACUUGAUAAAAAUAUCACAUUUCAUCGAGUCAUUGCCUACGCGAUUUGUUUCUUCACCAGUAAGUUGUUCUUCAUGUAUAAACUUUUACUAAAUAAUGGAAAAAUCAAGACAUCAUGAAAAAGUUUUGAAAAUAGAAUUUUUGAAAAAUAGGGUUUUGUUAUUGGGUGUGGUAUCUCAAAAGGAAUAAUAUCCCCCUCCCCCUCCUCCCA